Unclassified non-coding RNA from Erinaceus europaeus (western European hedgehog), 303 nucleotides. Its record names the gene 7SK. It matches the Rfam family "7SK RNA". From Rfam's summary of the family: 7SK was discovered as an abundant small nuclear RNA in the mid-70s but a possible function has only recently been suggested. Two independent studies have found that 7SK RNA binds the CDK9/cyclin T complex (known as elongation factor P-TEFb). P-TEFb activates transcription by phosphorylating the C-terminal domain of RNA polymerase II. The record is from Ensembl. Lineage: Eukaryota; Metazoa; Chordata; Mammalia; Eulipotyphla; Erinaceidae.
GGAUGUGAUGGCAAUCUGGCUGUGACAUCUGUCACCCCACUGAUGGGCAGGGUUGAUUCUGCUGAUCAAGCUGGCUAGGCGCGGGUCCCCUUCCUCACCACUCCAUAUAUGUCAAGCUGAACUUAAAAAUUGUUUGUUUACGAUAUUUUUGUGUCUAUAAAUAUAAGGCUUUUAUCUCUACAUUAUAGAAGCUCAGAAAAGGUGCUUAGGACUUUACUUCCUAAGAGCUUGCCUUAAAUCAAUGAGCUAAUGUAAAAGUUUAUCUGCUGUUGAUUUCAGGAAAAGCUUAUGGUAAGUCUUAGA